RNAcentral lists this transfer RNA (62 nucleotides) under Euxiphydria potanini. RNAcentral's name for it is "tRNA-Cys". The record is from RNAcentral. Lineage: Eukaryota; Metazoa; Arthropoda; Insecta; Hymenoptera; Xiphydriidae.
AAUUUUGUAGUUAAAAAUAAUAUUAAAUUGCAAAUUUAAAGUAAAUAAAAAAUUCAAAAUUU